RNAcentral lists this non-coding RNA (188 nucleotides) under Oscillospiraceae bacterium. Its description in RNAcentral is "6S RNA". It matches the Rfam family "6S / SsrS RNA". Rfam says of the family: E. coli 6S RNA was the first non coding RNA to be sequenced, but its function was unknown until recently. It consists of 184 nucleotides that fold into an extended hairpin structure with a large single-stranded internal bulge. Lineage: Bacteria; Bacillati; Bacillota; Clostridia; Eubacteriales; Oscillospiraceae. The record is from RNAcentral.
CGCAUCCUGCCCGGUGCGCGGACCUAUGCAGAAAUAACCCUACAAUGUUUAAUAGGGAACCCGGACUCCGGAGGCGGACUUCAGACCUCCCGGCUUUUGCCGGACGAAGGGAGUGCGAAGCUUCAGGGAGGGUACCCACCUGCUUUUAGUAGCAGGUUAUUCAGCAUUUUACGGCCGGGCGGGUACUU